UACAGAGGGUGCGAGCGUUAAUCGGAAUUACUGGGCGUAAAGCGUGCGUAGACGGUUAUUUAAGUCGGGUGUGAAAGCCCCGGGCUCAACCUGGGAAUUGCAUUCGAGACUGAAUAGCUAGGGUACGGUAGAGGGAAGUGGAAUUUCCGGUGUAGCGGUGAAAUGCGUAGAUAUCGGAAGGAACAUCAGUGGCGAAGGCGGCCUUCUGGACAGUGACUGACGCUGAGACGCGAAAGCGUGGGGAGCAAACAGG
This 253-nucleotide ribosomal RNA is filed under the name uncultured bacterium. Its description in RNAcentral is "partial 16S ribosomal RNA". It matches the Rfam family "Bacterial small subunit ribosomal RNA", at positions 524 to 776 of the family's 1533-position model. The record is from RNAcentral.